UACAGAGGUCCCAAGCGUUGUUCGGAUUCAUUGGGCGUAAAGGGUGCGUAGGCGGCGCGGUAGGUCGGGUGUGAAAUCUCGGAGCUUAACUCCGAAACUGCAUUCGAUACUGCGGUGCUUGAGGACUGGAGAGGAGACUGGAAUUCAUGGUGUAGCAGUGAAAUGCGUAGAGAUCAUGAGGAAGACCAGUGGCGAAGGCGGGUCUCUGGACAGUUCCUGAUACUGAGGCACGAAGGCCAGGGGAGCAAACGGG
Molecule: ribosomal RNA, 253 nt
Filed under: uncultured bacterium
Lineage: Bacteria
Description: partial 16S ribosomal RNA
Rfam family: Bacterial small subunit ribosomal RNA
Source: RNAcentral